AGAGUUUGAUCAUGGCUCAGAUUGAACGCUGGCGGCAGGCCUAACACAUGCAAGUCGGGCGAAUCUAGCUUGCUAGAUGAGCGGCGAACGGGUGAGUAACGCGUAGGAAUCUGCCUGGUAGUGGGGGACAACGUUCCGAAAGGGACGCUAAUACCGCAUACGCCCUACGGGGGAAAGCUGGGGAUCUUCGGACCUAGCGCUAUCAGAUGAGCCUGCGUCGGAUUAGCUAGUUGGUGGGGUAAAGGCCCACCAAGGCGACGAUCCGUAACUGGUCUGAGAGGAUGAUCAGUCACACCGGAACUGAGACACGGUCCGGACUCCUACGGGAGGCAGCAGUGGGGAAUAUUGGACAAUGGGGGCAACCCUGAUCCAGCCAUGCCGCGUGUGUGAAGAAGGCCUUCGGGUUGUAAAGCACUUUAGGUCGGGAGGAAGGUUCGCUGGCUAAUAUCCAGCGGAAUUGACGUUACCGACAGAAUAAGCACCGGCUAACUCCGUGCCAGCAGCCGCGGUAAUACGGAGGGUGCAAGCGUUAAUCGGAAUUACUGGGCGUAAAGCGCGCGUAGGCGGCUCGGUCAGUCGGGUGUGAAAUCCCUGGGCUCAACCUGGGAACUGCAUUCGAUACUGCCGAGCUAGAGUGUGGGAGAGGGUAGUGGAAUUCCCGGUGUAGCGGUGAAAUGCGUAGAUAUCGGGAGGAACAUCAGUGGCGAAGGCGACUGCCUGGCCCAACACUGACGCUGAGGUGCGAAAGCGUGGGUAGCAAACAGGAUUAGAUACCCUGGUAGUCCACGCCGUAAACGAUGUCGACUAGCCGUUGGAGACCUUAGAGUCUUUAGUGGCGCAGCUAACGCGAUAAGUCGACCGCCUGGGGAGUACGGCCGCAAGGUUAAAACUCAAAGGAAUUGACGG
Molecule: ribosomal RNA, 906 nt
Filed under: uncultured bacterium
Lineage: Bacteria
Description: bacterial SSU rRNA
Rfam family: Bacterial small subunit ribosomal RNA
Source: RNAcentral